This is an RNA transcript of Notolabrus celidotus (New Zealand spotty), 2579 nucleotides long. It is a transcript of the gene named peroxisomal biogenesis factor 14, with no coding region annotated. The transcript has 10 exons. Lineage: Eukaryota; Metazoa; Chordata; Actinopteri; Labriformes; Labridae. The record is from RefSeq and is a predicted model, not a curated record.
UUCAGGAAAAGCAAUCGAGCGAAGUUCACUCGAGCAGUCUGUUAGCAAACAAGGGCUAGGAAGGAACAUGGCAUCCACCGACCAACCUGAUCCACCAACACAGCCUGUCCUUCCACCCGGAGAUGUUCCGGCAGCUCCCCCCAGAGAAGCAUUGAUUACCACUGCUGUGAAAUUUCUACAGAACCCUAAAGUACAGCAGAGUCCCCUGGCAACCAGAAAAGCCUUCUUGAAGAAAAAAGGACUGACGGAUGUGGAGGUAGAACUGGCCAUCCUGCGCUCUGGCAGCACAGAAGAAGUCCUGCCUCUGAACCCUGCAGGGCCCCUACUUCCCCUCCAUGCAACUCAGCUGGUUCCUGCACCACAAAGUCCAGCAGGUUACAGAUGGAGAGACUAUGGUGCCCUCACCAUCAUUAUGGUGGGCAUCGCCUUUGGCUUUCAUCAGCUUUAUAAAAAAUACAUCCUUCCCCUCAUUAUGGGCAGCCGAGAGGACAAGAAGCAUCUGCAGAGGAUGGAGAGCAACAUUGCGGCAAUGAGUGGCACGCUGACACAGACAGUCAGCCAGCUGCAGCAGACCCUGGUCUCUGUUCAGGAGCUCCUCGUUCAGCAGCAGCAGAAAAUCCAGGAGCUGUCUCAGGAACUGUCUGCAGCAGAGGCAUCGUCUUCAACCAGCCGCAUACUGGACAACCAAACAGUUGGAGAGCUGAAGGCUGAAAUUGUCUCUUUGAAGGGCUUACUGCUCAGCAGGAAACAAUUCCCCUCCACUCCCUCUGUCCCAAAGAUCCCCUCAUGGCAGAUCCCCCUCAAGCCGACUUCUGCGUCCACCUCCCCAUCUGUCAACGACACCAACAGCAGCAGCGACAUCUCUCCUGUUAGCAUCGAGUCCGCCAGCUCCUCCCCAAUUAAAGACGGUCAACAAAGCUCCCAGGAUGCACUGGGUGGGCCUGACGGAGCUCAUGGUAUCAAUGGCGAAGCAGGACCUGGGGAUCUUGGCGCAUCACUGCCCCUGGACCUGAAAGACCAGGUCCGCAUGGAGGUGCAAGGGGAGGAGGAGCGAAAGGAGGAAGAGGAAGAGGAGGAAGAUGUGAACCAUGUGGAAGAUGAGGAGGAGGAUGAGCUGAGCAUGCAGACAGAGGAUCGACGAGGUGGGGACGGACAGAUUAACGAACAGGUGGAGAAACUGAGGCGACCCGAGGGUGCCAGCAAUGAGAACGAGGUGGAUUAGACAACAGCACAUAAACACUCUCCUAACACAGCUUCUCCUCUCUGCUGACAGCUUUGUUUCAUUCUGCUGCUGUCUGCUUGAAAUUAUUCUGUUUGUUUGGGUUUGUGUGUUUUUUUUGUUUUUCAAAUUAAUCUCCCCUGUUUGUCUCCACUUGUUCUGUAACAUGUUAAUCUUUAGCAAAAUGAGGAGCAAACGUGCCAGUGAGAUGAUGCAAAACUGACAAAUAUUGGAUUGUCUCAUUGACACACAGCUUGAUUUACUUUUCAUCAUGCAAACUAAAUGACUGCGUACCCAGCCAAUUACCAUGUUGUCACAUUUCUUUGGAAGGAGCAAUGAUGAGCAGUAGUCAAAUCAGAAUGACUUAAAAAGGCUCACGCAGUAAUAACUGUGUGUGACUUUCCACUUUUUAAUUUUCAUGAUUUGAUCAGAUAGUUCGCAGCUUUGCCUUGGUGUGCUUGUGGCUGCACUCAAGCUUAGAAACAGACCGUAGAGGCAGCCCUGCAUGGACUCUCUCUCCUGUAUAGUGCAGCUGUAGGUCAAGAGUCAUAUGUUGCCACUUCAGUCUCAAAGUUACCGUGAGCUUCCAGAGGAGCAUUAGCAGAGUUUGUCUCCCUGUUGAUGGCAAUAGGAGAGGACAAGCUCUUCCAGGGCCGGAGCUUUUAGCCUCUUUUAUGUGUCCUUUCGCAUUGGUGUCAGUCUGUCAAUAAUUCACAAGGCCAGCAGGGUGGCAUUUGGGUGAAAUAAAAGCCCUGAAAUUCGAGAUUAGAAUGUGAUGACGGGCUUUGUUCCACUCCGGAGUCAGAGUGCUCAUACGCUCAAAGGAGGGGAAGAUAAAUGUUUUUUUUGCCCCUGCUUUCCUUUUUCACUGAGGGCUGAAUCGUGCAUCUCUAUGCGUGUGUUUGUGUGUGGCAGGCGUGAAAAACCCCAGACUGUCUGCUGAGCUGUAUCUGUGUCUCCAGCAGGGCAGCUGAUUUGGUUUGUGAAUUAACAAGAAGAGUCCACGAGUGAGAAGAAGGGAUAUCAGCUCUCGAGCCGUUUCCACCUCCGUCACAUGGCCUUCAUAGGAACACAGAAAAGGUAGAGAGGAAAAGCACAUUUGUGUGUGACACCGGUCCUAACCUGAAGAUUAUCUUUCGUAAUUUUGAUCCAGUUUAUGUGAAAUAUAUGAAUGAUAAGAGAACAAUGCAGUAUACUGUAAGCUAUAUAUUUUUGAUUUAUAAUAAAUGAGUUUGUAUGGUUGUUAGGGAAAGAACUAAUGCUCUUGUAGUGAUUAGUCCUUAAUGUAAACUGCUGAUUACUGUCUGAAUUACAACCAAAAGUGUACAUAUGUGUAAUAAACUUCUCUAUCUCUAUCUCA